Long non-coding RNA from Diospyros lotus (date-plum), 1117 nucleotides. RefSeq lists it as uncharacterized. The transcript is spliced from 5 exons. The record is from RefSeq and is a predicted model, not a curated record. NCBI's taxonomy places the organism in Eukaryota, Viridiplantae, Streptophyta, Magnoliopsida, Ericales, Ebenaceae.
GCUAAAGUGGAAAAGAAAGAAAUGCAAUUGAUUAAGAAAAGGGUAAUUUUCUAGUUAUUUUUAUGGCUAUAUAACAUCUAUCCUCAUUCACUUUCCUUUGUUCUCUUCUAUUACACUUUGUCUGUUUUCAUCUCUUAAUUGCAGUGUGGAAUACAAUGUCUCGUAUGCGUACCACUCGAUGUUUGCCUAUUUCAACAGGGACAAUGUUGCUCUCAAGGGCCUUGCCAAGUACUAAAACAAACAGAUUAAUACCACAACUAUAUAUGUUCAUCAUCAUCUACAGUCUUUAUGGGAAUUAUUAGGUUUUUCAAGGAGUGAAGUGAAGAAGAAAGGGAACUUGCCCAAAAGUUGAUGAAAUACUAGCGUGGUGGAAGAGUGAAGUUGCACACUAUAUUGACGUCGCCUUCAGAAUUUGAUCAUGUUGAGAAGGGUGAUGCAUUAUAUGUUCAGCAGUGGAACUAGCAUUGUCCUUGGAGAAGUUGACAAAUGAGAAGCUUUUGCUGUUACACAGUGUGGCUUCGCGAAACAACGAUCCUCAGAUGACCGACUUCAUUGAGAGCGAGUUUCUUACUGAAUAGGCAAAAUGAGAAACCCAUAUCUUCAGUCAUGUUCAUCAAAAUCUCUACUUUUGUUGUUAACAUGGAAGGGAGUACCUGUAAAGCCAAAGCUACCAGCUGAGAUGGUUCACUAAGAUUCUGGGUUGAAGCCAUUAAGAAAAUUGCAGAGUUUGUGAGUCAGUUGAGAAGGGUUGGGAAAGGACACGGUAUAAACAAAUCAUGUUCCAGUUUCACUCUUAGUAAUCAAUAUCUGAUUUUUCUCUCUCUUGUGAUUGCCACUGCAGUCGUGUCAUCCUAUACAAAAAUUUCAUCUUCUAGCACUAAGAGUGGUGGUUUUUGCACACGGGUGUGGUGGCACUUUGAUCAGAUGCUGCCACACAAGGAUAAUGGUGCAUUCUGAAGAUUCAUCUAUUUCUGCUCUGGAUAAGAUCUAUGCCUUUAUGGCUUUUCUUAAGGUAGUGUUCGUUACAAAGCUUAUGUUAAUAGAGAUGGUGUGAGUAAUCAAGCUAUUAGCAUAUUGUAUUCAUCAAUUACUAGCAACUUUAUCAAAACUACUAAUG